Molecule: transfer RNA, 326 nt
Filed under: Candidatus Liberibacter solanacearum
Lineage: Bacteria; Pseudomonadati; Pseudomonadota; Alphaproteobacteria; Hyphomicrobiales; Rhizobiaceae
Description: partial 16S-23S ribosomal RNA intergenic spacer
Rfam family: tRNA (bases 53-126)
Source: RNAcentral
UCUUUCUUUUUGAUAAUUUUGCGAUUGAUGGGGUCAUUUAAGUUUAUGUUAAGGGCCCAUAGCUCAGGCGGUUAGAGUGCACCCCUGAUAAGGGUGAGGUCGGUAGUUCGAAUCUACCUGGGCCCACCAUUCAGUCAGGUAAGGGGCCGUAGCUCAGCUGGGAGAGCGCCUGCUUUGCAAGCAGGAUGUCAGCGGUUCGAUCCCGCUCGGCUCCACCAAUUGCGAAUUUAUAGUUUUUUUGUUCUAGGGAUUUUUUUUAGAGCAAUAGUUUUUUGAAAAUUGAAUAGAAGGUAGAUUUUUUUGUAUUUUUUAUAUUGGCAUUGUAU